RNAcentral lists this long non-coding RNA (1381 nucleotides) under Medicago truncatula (barrel medic). Its description in RNAcentral is "lncRNA gene2660". The record is from RNAcentral. Lineage: Eukaryota; Viridiplantae; Streptophyta; Magnoliopsida; Fabales; Fabaceae.
CUCAUAACCCAAAUCCAUAUUAUAAUCAAAAAUUUUUAAAUUCUCCUUUUAUUCCAAUUCCACAAAAUAAUCUACCCUUUGGAAAUUACCCAUAUCAUACUUCACCUUACCAACAUCAAUCUCAAUAAUUUUCAUCUCAAUCAACUAACCCCACUAUGUCUCAUGAGGUUCAUAUUGGUAAUGGUGGUGUGCAAUCAAAUGAUCAAGAGACUUCAACACCAAAAUCUUGCACUCAAGGUGGCUUGGAAACUAUAAAUCUUGAUGAAGAAAUUGGAUUUGCACCGGUUGUAAAAACGCCGAAAAUAAGAUUCCAACCAAAUGAGGAUUAACUUCUCAUUCAAUCAUGGUUCAACAUUUCAAAGGACUCGAUUGUUGGAGUUGAUCAAAAAGGAGAUUGUUUUUGGAAGAGGAUUAGUGAAGCUUAUAACAAGCACCACGACAAAAAUUGUCCAGAGAGGAAUUUCAUGGCACUAAAUGGUCGAUGGCACAAAAUGAUCAAUCCUUCUGGUAAUAAGUUUGUUGGGUGCUACAAACAAGCCGUUGGUUUGAAAAAAAGUGGUAGCUCCGAGAGCGACAUUAUUUUGGCUGCACAUGAUAUUUUUCACCACGACAUGUGUAGAAAAUUCACAUUUGAGGGUGCGUGGAGAUUAAUGAAGGAUGAACCCAAAUGGAGUGCAGGUUCAUUAGAACCUUCUUCAAAAAGAACAAAUAAUUCAACUUCUGGAGCAUAUUUGCCGUCUACUAACCCACCAACACCAACAAGCGAAUACAAUCCGCCGAAGCGUCCAAUCAGUCAAAAGGCGGCUAAAAGGAAGGAAAAAGAAAAGCUUAAAGAAACGUCUACUACCAAAUUUGAUACUUUGAAAUAUGACUUCGACAAAAAGUUUGAACUAGUAUCCGUGUUUGCACAUGAUUAUGCACAUAUUGAGAGUGAAAAGGUCGAGAUAGAGAGGAAAAGGGUUGAUGCAGAGUUGCAAAGAACCGAAAAUGAUAGGGAAAGGUCGAAGAUCGAUGAUUUACAAUUUUUUUAAAGGAUACAUCAAAUAUGAAUGCAAGACAACUAAAAGAUUAUGAAUAUUUGUGUGGCAUGAUUAGAGAUAAAUAUGGACAUAAUUGAUAUUAUUAUGUAUAUUAUAAUGGAUACGUGCAUCAUAUUACACAACAUGAUUGUUGAAGAUGAGUGUGCUACAUAUGGUGGCAAUUUUGAUUAUUCUUAUGAUCAUCUUGGCAAUGACCCAAUUGCACCAUCAGAUGAUUCUAAUAUUGAUUUUCGCGAGUUCCUACGUAGAAGAUACCAUGUUCAAGAUAAGCAAAUUCAUCGACACCUUCAACAAGAUUUGAUAGAACAUAUAUGGGAACGUUCUGGGCAUGAGAAUAACCG